RNAcentral lists this transfer RNA (68 nucleotides) under Marmota monax (woodchuck). RNAcentral's name for it is "tRNA.Ala". The record is from RNAcentral. Lineage: Eukaryota; Metazoa; Chordata; Mammalia; Rodentia; Sciuridae.
GGUUUGUGGCUCAGAGGCAGAGUACUCGUCUAGCACGCGCGAGGCCCUGGGUUCGAUCCUCAGCACCA